This 445-nucleotide ribosomal RNA is filed under the name uncultured bacterium. RNAcentral's name for it is "partial 16S ribosomal RNA". It matches the Rfam family "Bacterial small subunit ribosomal RNA", at positions 354 to 796 of the family's 1533-position model. The record is from RNAcentral.
GUGAGGAAUAUUGCGCAAUGGAGGCAACUCUGACGCAGCCAUGCCGCGUGCAGGAAGAAGGCGCUACGCGUUGUAAACUGCUUUUAACCGGGAAGAAACCCCAGGACGUGUCCUGGGUUGACGGUACCGGAGGAAUAAGCACCGGCUAACUUCGUGCCAGCAGCCGCGGUAAUACGAAGGGUGCAAGCGUUAUCCGGAUUCAUUGGUUUUAAAUGGUGCGUAGGCGGAGCGUUAAGUCAGUGGUGAAAUCCUGCAGCUUAACUGUAGACUUGCCAUUGAUACUGGCGCUCUUGAGUGCGCUUGAAGUGGGCGGAAUGUGCCGUGUAGCGGUGAAAUGCUUAGAUAUGGCACAGAACACCAAUUGCGAAGGCAGCUCACUAAGGCGAUACUGACGCUGAGGCACGAAAGCGUGGGGAUCGAACAGGAUUAGAUACCCGAGUAGUCC